GAGUUUGAUCCUGGCUCAGGAUGAACGCCCUUUACAGGCUUAACACAUGCAAGUCGAGGGGCAGCGGGGGCGAAGCUUGCUUCGCCUGCCGGCGACCGGCGCACGGGUGAGUAACACGUAUGCGACCUGCCCCCCGCAGGGGGAUAACCGGGAGAAAUCCCGACUAAUACCGCGUAACGCCGCUGGGCUGCAUGGCCCGGCGGCCAAAGGAAGCGAUUCCGGCGGGGGAUGGGCAUGCGGCGCAUUAGCUAGUCGGCGGGGUAACGGCCCACCGAGGCGACGAUGCGUAGGGGUUCUGAGAGGAAGGUCCCCCACACUGGUACUGAGACACGGACCAGACUCCUACGGGAGGCAGCAGUGAGGAAUAUUGGUCAAUGGGCGGGAGCCUGAACCAGCAAAGUCGCGUGAGGGAUGACGGUCCUACGGAUUGUAAACCUCUUUUGCCGGGGAGCAACGGGGUCCUUGCGAGGGCCCGAUGAGAGUACCCGGAGAAAAAGCAUCGGCUAACUCCGUGCCAGCAGCCGCGGUAAUACGGAGGAUGCGAGCGUUAUCCGGAUUUAUUGGGUUUAAAGGGUGCGUAGGCGGGCUGUUAAGUCAGCGGUCAAAUGUCGGGGCUCAACCCCGGCCUGCCGUUGAAACUGGCGGCCUCGAGUGGGCGAGAAGUAUGCGGAAUGCGUGGUGUAGCGGUGAAAUGCAUAGAUAUCACGCAGAACUCCGAUUGCGAAGGCAGCAUACCGGCGCCCGACUGACGCUGAGGCACGAAAGCGUGGGUAUCGAACAGGAUUAGAUACCCUGGUAGUCCACGCAGUAAACGAUGAAUGCUAGCUGUCCGGUUGUACGGGACUGGGUGGCACAGCGAAAGCGUUAAGCAUUCCACCUGGGGAGUACGCCGGGCAACGGUGAAACUCAAAGGAAUUGACGGGGGCCCGCACAAGCGGAGGAACAUGUGGUUUAAUUCGAUGAUACGCGAGGAACCUUACCCGGGCUCAAACGCCAAAGGACAGCCGUUGAAAGGCGGCCUCCCUCUGGGGUCUUUGGCGAGGUGCUGCAUGGUUGUCGUCAGCUCGUGCCGUGAGGUGUCGGCUUAAGUGCCAUAACGAGCGCAACCCCCAUCGACAGUUGCUAACGGGUAGAGCCGAGGACUCUGUCGAGACUGCCGGCGCAAGCUGCGAGGAAGGCGGGGAUGACGUCAAAUCAGCACGGCCCUUACGUCCGGGGCGACACACGUGUUACAAUGGCCGGUACAGCGGGAUGCCAGGGCGCGAGCCCGAGCGGAACCCGAAAACCGGUCUCAGUUCGGAUUGGAGUCUGAAACCCGACUCCAUGAAGCUG
RNAcentral lists this ribosomal RNA (1332 nucleotides) under uncultured bacterium. RNAcentral's name for it is "bacterial SSU rRNA". It matches the Rfam family "Bacterial small subunit ribosomal RNA", at positions 9 to 1328 of the family's 1533-position model. The record is from RNAcentral.